CCAUGAUGUAUGAAGAGUGAAAACUGUAGAAGAGAGAGCAAUUUCAAUUUGUUUGGAAAAAUUUCAGAGAAUCGUACUGCAGCUCCACCUUCUAUCCUCCCCUCUGGCUCUUAACAUUUCAUCCCCAUACACACACAUUGGAAAAUCUGAAACAGUCUAAAAACUGGACGAUAUAAUAACUUUGUGUUUUGAUAUCAGAAUGCCCAGUUAGCCCAAUUAAGGCCAAAGUCUUGUAUUUGGUCUAAACUUUUAAUAAUUUUUCUAUAUUAAAGUA
Molecule: long non-coding RNA, 274 nt
Organism: Etheostoma spectabile (orangethroat darter)
Lineage: Eukaryota; Metazoa; Chordata; Actinopteri; Perciformes; Percidae
Exons: 2
Source: RefSeq, a predicted model, not a curated record